This 523-nucleotide ribosomal RNA is filed under the name Dendrolaelaps presepum. Its description in RNAcentral is "SSU rRNA". It matches the Rfam family "Eukaryotic small subunit ribosomal RNA", at positions 891 to 1438 of the family's 1831-position model. Lineage: Eukaryota; Metazoa; Arthropoda; Arachnida; Mesostigmata; Digamasellidae. The record is from RNAcentral.
UUCGUAUUGUUGUGAGAGAGGUGAAAUUCUUAGACCACAGCAAGACGAACUACUGCGAAAGCAUUUGCCAAGAAUGUUUUCAUUGAUCAAGAACGAAAGUUAGAGGUUCGAAGGCGAUCAGAUACCGCCCUAGUUCUAACCAUAAACUAUGCCAACUAGCAAUCUGCUUAUAUAUGUUCUAUGAUUAAGUAGGCGGCCACGGGAAACCAAAGUAGGGUUAUGGGGGAAGUAUGGUUGCAAAGCUGAAACUUAAAGGAAUUGACGGAAGGGCACCACCAGGAGUGGAGCCUGCGGCUUAAUUUGACUCAACACGGGAAAACUUACCUGGUCCUGACACUAGAAGGAUUGACAGAUUGAUAGCUCUUUCUUGAUUUGGUGGAUGGUGGUGCAUGGCCGUUCUUAGUUGGUGGAGUGAUUUGUCUGGGUUAAUUCCGAUAACGAACGAGACUCUAGCCUAUUAAAUAACACACAGAAUCUUGUCUUCUGUGGCGUUUCUUAAUGGGAUCAAGUGUGUUUAACGCUU